AAAAUGGCUGCAAGUGAACAAGCAAAGACAAAGAAGAUCUGUCAUUGGAGGAUAAAAUAAAAGCGCGUGUCAGAAUUGCAGCUGCACUGUUGGAGCCUCCAUGGGAUAUUUUUAGGCAAUGCAAGAAUCUGACAGCGGUUCUCAUCCUCUAACCAUAAGCAGGAUCCACGUUGAACAGUAACCAUCAUCCUUAUGACUGCAGUGGCUCUUGUGCAGGUAAACAAGAGCAUGAGCCUCCAUGCCAGGCCAGCAUAGAACUUUGGGUAGGAGGACUUCAAAGGGAGUGUUUCCUUGUCCCUCACCAAUCACCUGUCGGGGAUUUUGAUAUGCCCCACCCCAGCCUGCUCAACAAGUUUUACAGCAGAAAACUCAGUAGGAAGGACAGCACUUUUGUGUUUUCCUCUCAUUCCCUGUUUUCCUUGGGCUCUUGAUGUCAAUUUCAGUUUUUGCCACUCACCAGGGUACUUUUCAGGAACAUGACCUUCAUGCCAGCCAGUGGCGACAAGAGCUCACAGAGCCUUCCGCAGGAUGAGAUCAUAGGAAGGACCCACUGGAAAGGCAGAACAGUGCCUGCUGCUCAGUCAAUGCCUGAUGAUGGAGUGAACAGAUUUCUGCUUUCGGUGGCCACCUCUGGGUCACAGAAGGCCCAGAAGUUACAAGCAACCUCUGGUAUUUGAAGAAUGGAGAAAAAGGACAGAGAAGUAUGAAAAGGAGCCUCGUUUGGAUGCAUCCACUGAGCAUUGAAGGCGAGGACCCUUAGGUGGCCCCGUCCUUUGCAAACAGGUUCAGUGUUUCUCCCACACUCACUCCAGGGCCCAGAAUCCAUGCACACCUGCAGGGUGGGGCAGGCCGACUCAGACUGACACGUCCAGCCUCUGCCCAACUCCUCUGUUGGAGGCUUUGUGGGGAAUUUGGCAGAGCCUGGCCAUUCCUUCACUAAUUCGGCCGUUGUAGAAAAACCACCCAGUUAACAGGUCCGAGCCGUUUCCUCUAAUCCUGGGGACUAGAGGUGACUGCCACUUUGAGGCCAGUUAAGAGUUCUUGCCCCCUCCUGGAAGCCCUGCACUGCUGGGAAGCAG
RNAcentral lists this long non-coding RNA (1079 nucleotides) under Papio anubis (olive baboon). RNAcentral's name for it is "lncRNA (ENSPANG00000043247.1)". The record is from RNAcentral. Lineage: Eukaryota; Metazoa; Chordata; Mammalia; Primates; Cercopithecidae.